UUUGCUUAGACACCAAGUCGGCGAUGAAGCUUCCUUCUAAGUGGAUUAGCGGCCNACGGGUGAGUAACACGUGGGUAACCUACCUCAAAGUGGGGGAUAGCCUCCCGAAAGGGAGAUUAAUACCGCAUAAUAUAAGAAAAUCGCAUGAUUAUCUUAUCAAAGAUUUAUCGCUUUGAGAGGGANCCGCGGCGCAUUAGCUAGUUGGUGGGGUAACGGCCUACCAAGGCAACGAUGCGUAGCCGACCUGAGAGGGUGAUCGGCCACAUUGGAACUGAGACACGGUCCAGACUCCUACGGGAGGCAGCAGUGGGGAAUAUUGCGCAAUGGGGGAAACCCUGACGCAGCAACGCCGCGUGGGUGAUGAAGGUCUUCGGAUUGUAAAGCCCUGUUUUCUGGGACGAUAAUGACGGUACCAGAGGAGGAAGCCACGGCUAACUACGUGCCAGCAGCCGGGGUAAUAA
This 461-nucleotide ribosomal RNA is filed under the name Clostridium sp. TERIGK12. RNAcentral's name for it is "bacterial SSU rRNA". It matches the Rfam family "Bacterial small subunit ribosomal RNA", at positions 43 to 526 of the family's 1533-position model. Lineage: Bacteria; Bacillati; Bacillota; Clostridia; Eubacteriales; Clostridiaceae. The record is from RNAcentral.